UACGUAGGGUGCAAGCGUUGUCCGGAAUUAUUGGGCGUAAAGAGCUCGUAGGCGGUUUGUCGCGUCUGCUGUGAAAACUCGAGGCUCAACCUCGGGCUUGCAGUGGGUACGGGCAGACUAGAGUGCGGUAGGGGAGACUGGAAUUCCUGGUGUAGCGGUGGAAUGCGCAGAUAUCAGGAGGAACACCGAUGGCGAAGGCAGGUCUCUGGGCCGCAACUGACGCUGAGGAGCGAAAGCAUGGGGAGCGAACAGG
This 253-nucleotide ribosomal RNA is filed under the name uncultured bacterium. RNAcentral's name for it is "partial 16S ribosomal RNA". It matches the Rfam family "Bacterial small subunit ribosomal RNA", at positions 524 to 776 of the family's 1533-position model. The record is from RNAcentral.